UACGGAGGGUGCAAGCGUUAUCCGGAUUUACUGGGUUUAAAGGGUGUGUAGGCGGACUUUUAAGUCAGGGGUGAAAUCCCGAGGCUCAACCUCGGAACUGCCUUUGAUACUAUUGGUCUUGAAUCUUGUUGAGGUGGGCGGAACGGGUCAUGUAGCGGUGAAAUGCAUAGAUAUGACCCGGAACACCGAUUGCGAAGGCAGCCCGCUAAGCAAGCAUUGACGCUGAGGCACGAAAGCGUGGGGAGCAAACAGG
This 253-nucleotide ribosomal RNA is filed under the name uncultured bacterium. Its description in RNAcentral is "partial 16S ribosomal RNA". It matches the Rfam family "Bacterial small subunit ribosomal RNA", at positions 524 to 776 of the family's 1533-position model. The record is from RNAcentral.